AUUGAACGCUGGCGGCAGGCCUAACACAUGCAAGUCGAACGAGUGGCGGACGGGUGAGUAACGUCUGGGAAACUGCCUGAUGGAGGGGGAUAACUACUGGAAACGGUAGCUAAAACCGACUACCAUCAGAUGUGCCUAGAUGGGAUGAGCUUGUUGGUGGGGUAACGGGUCACCAAGGCGACGACCCCUAGCUGGUCUGAGAGGAUGACCAGCCACACUGGAACUGAGACACGGUCCAGACUCCUACGGGAGGCAGCAGUGGGGAAUAUUGCACAAUGGGCGCAAGCCUGAAACAGCGAUGCCGCGUGUAUGAAGAAGGCCUUCGGGUUGUAAAGUACUGUCAGCGGGGAGGCGUUACCCGCAGAAGAAGCACCGGCUAACUACGUGCCAGCAGCCGCGGUAAUAC
Molecule: ribosomal RNA, 406 nt
Filed under: uncultured bacterium
Lineage: Bacteria
Description: partial 16S ribosomal RNA
Rfam family: Bacterial small subunit ribosomal RNA
Source: RNAcentral